AAUUGUGUAAAUUUCUUGGUUGUAUUAAUGUAAGUUUUAUUGAAAAUCGAUUAAAUUUCAAAUAGGAUUAAUACAUACGGUCAGUUUAACAAGUACAAGUAAUACGAGUAUUAUUCAAAAUACAACAUUCAUUUAAAGCAACAAGCACGAUGGAAGAACUAACAACAAGAUACUCAGCGGAUAUCCCUCCAAUUUGAGUUUCAAGUUGAACAGAAGUUUAUAUGUCAAAAGGUAUAAGCUUGAAGCUGGCAAAUCAUAAAAUUAAUCUUUUCAUUCAGAAAAUAGAAAUUUCCAUUUUUCUAUGCUAAAAUCUUCAAGACAUUUCAAUCUCACUGGCCAUGUAGGCAAUUAAAAUUUGGCAAAAAAUUCCUAGUAUUUAAAACUACUCACUAACAGUUAAACGAUCGAUAAAGGGAAAACAGUAAUAAUAAAAUAUGGCUAGAAAAGGGACGGCACAUAUGAAAAUAAAUUGACAUUUCAAACAUAAA
This is a non-coding RNA of Schizosaccharomyces pombe (fission yeast), 488 nucleotides long. NCBI's taxonomy places the organism in Eukaryota, Fungi, Ascomycota, Schizosaccharomycetes, Schizosaccharomycetales, Schizosaccharomycetaceae. The record is from the annotation of a GenBank genome assembly.